GCUCAGGUGGUGAAAUGGUAUACACGCUAGAUUGAGGUUCUAGUGCAAGAGAUUGCAUACGGGUUCAAGUCCCGUUCUGAGCACCA
RNAcentral lists this transfer RNA (86 nucleotides) under Mesomycoplasma molare. RNAcentral's name for it is "tRNA-Leu". It matches the Rfam family "tRNA". Rfam says of the family: Transfer RNA (tRNA) molecules are approximately 80 nucleotides in length. Their secondary structure includes four short double-helical elements and three loops (D, anti-codon, and T loops). The record is from RNAcentral. Lineage: Bacteria; Bacillati; Mycoplasmatota; Mycoplasmoidales; Metamycoplasmataceae.